This 311-nucleotide long non-coding RNA is filed under the name Fragaria vesca (wild strawberry). Its description in RNAcentral is "long non-coding RNA (FVES_LNC001516)". The record is from RNAcentral. Lineage: Eukaryota; Viridiplantae; Streptophyta; Magnoliopsida; Rosales; Rosaceae.
CUGCGAUCGGUUUCGGAGACCUUAAUUAAAACACUACAGCUAUGCAUGCCUUUAGGAUGCUUAAACAUGUGACUGUGAGAGGGUAGAUGUAUACACUCUUAUUUGGAUCUUUCCAAUAGUAGAAGAAUGGCUGUCAUGGCCACCCUUCUAUUCAUUUUUCCUAAAGAGUUGGAUACAACUGCAACUCUGACUCUUGCAAAGUUGUAAUUAUGAGGGUAAGGUUUUCUCUUAAAAUAAUCUGGCUAUGCUGAAUCAGAGUACCUAAUAAGUAUUCUAUUACCUUGGUAUGUUCCCAUUGAUCCUGAUUUAUU